This 106-nucleotide microRNA precursor is filed under the name Marmota monax (woodchuck). The record is from RNAcentral. Lineage: Eukaryota; Metazoa; Chordata; Mammalia; Rodentia; Sciuridae.
UGACAAAUCUCCUGGGGGAUAUUGUUAGAAUGCAGAUUCUGAUCCAGUAGGUCUGGGGUGGAGCCUGAGACUCUGCAUUUCCAACAAGCUCCCAGGAGAUGCUGGU